Long non-coding RNA from Lathyrus oleraceus (garden pea), 2587 nucleotides. RefSeq lists it as uncharacterized. Lineage: Eukaryota; Viridiplantae; Streptophyta; Magnoliopsida; Fabales; Fabaceae. The record is from RefSeq and is a predicted model, not a curated record. The transcript is spliced from 5 exons.
UUUUGUUUAAAAUAAAUGAUAUUCAUUCAUUAUCACAAUGUUAAUAUUCAUCAUUAUAAUUAAACAUUAUGUGGCAACUCCGCCAACAGAGUACUUUCUUCUUGGGGCAAAAAAAAAUGACUUUACCAAACCAAAAAAUGAAAGAAGAAAGAGCCCUAGCUCUCUAAUUUACUGUUACCAUUUCCAGUUGCAUCAACAACACCAUAAGCCAAAUACAACGAGAUAAGGACUUCACCAACAACACCAUAAGGAAAAUACAACGAGAAGCUUCCAUCUUCCUUCUAGGAACCAAGCAAGGUAUAAUCAAUUUUUUUCAAAUGAUGUUUUGCAAAAAAAUAAAAGGAUUUGAGUCUGUCAGAACACCGUGUGACCACCCCAGUUGGUAGGCACCAACUGAGAACGAUCAUCUACAGCUUGGAUGAUGACCACAACAUGCAGAUCAUCUGGGCCGUUAAUCACGCUCUGAUCACACGGUCAUGAUUCAUCCACCAGACUUAUGUUCCUGUCUCCUUAGAAAUCAAGGACACAGUAGUACGAGCCUAUAGAACAGAUCCUGUUCAAGUAAGGACAAAAGCAUGCUGCUGAAACUUGUGUUCAAUACAGCUUCUCUGUUGCAAGAAGAAGCACAUGUUGGUUUUUGGGCUUGCCGGCGGCCGGUAUGGUGGAAAUUUGGCUCUCCGCCAUCCUAGAAGUGAGAACACAAGAUUGAGAACUUUUUUAUGAUGGCCUUUGAAAAUCCUUUCCUGUGAUUGGAUAAAACGUUUGAAAUCUUGAAAUGUUCAGCAGUCGCUCAGUUUGUAUACUCCUAUGUGCUUAACCAUUCUUGCAGGGUGUAUGUAUUUUUCUUUGAAAAGGUUAAAUGGAUCACCUUGUUGUUCAAUAAAGAGUACAGUUUGUUUUAUCUUUCAUUGGAAUUUGGUAUUUUUGUUUAUAAUGCUUGCAUAAUCUGCUGACCUGCGUUUGUACAAUAAGGUAAAGUCUCUCUCUUGCGAGGUGAGUUCUUAAUCAUGUGCUAUAUAUGUGUGCUCCUCUUCUCUUGUGAGACUUCAAGAUAUAAAAGGGUUCCCCAUGAUUGGCAUUUAGAAUUCUACUUAUUCUAGUUUCCAACUCGGAGGACAUUUUAGUUAUACCAACACUCGGAGGACAUUUUAGCGAAAUACUUUACAAUUGAACUACAAAACAAUUCCUUAUGUACAUUAUGUCAGAAUCUCAACGAGUCCUUCGUAAUUCACAAAUGGAGUAGUGGAUUUGGAUCUGAUGGUGAAUUCCGUCAUGCCAAUAUUGUCUGGUUGCUCUAGCUCAGUAUAGGGGUGAUAGUUGCAAACACUCUGAUGCCCAAGUUAAUAAGAGUCGAAUGUAAAGGUGUGUGGCAAUUUUGAGUUAGAAAUUGUGUACCUUACUUAAUGUGAUGCCUUUAUUGACCUUUUAUUAUGGGGUUCUAGGGUUUCUAGACCUAGAACUUCUUGUCUCCUCAUGCUCAAUUAUGUUGAAAUUUGUGGUGGUAAGAUUAGCCAAUCGUCUAUAUCAAAUAACAUCAGAGAACCACAUUUAUUCUAGAGCAAUCAAAUUAGCGACCUUCUUAUCAUUUUUUAUUUAUUUAUUUUGUGAAUUAUGUCUUAAAUGAAUAUCUAAGAGAUGGAAGAGGUUAUGAGUUGUGGGAAGUAGAAUCUGGAGGACCAAAGUUUACCGUUCACAUAUGUAUUACUUUCAGCGAGCCGAAGAAUGGGAGGAAGAAUAAAGACCUAGAGAUGAAAAUUUUAAAAACUAUAGCAGGGAAAACUUAGUUUGAAGUGGAGGUUCCUGUUAUGGAUACUAAUAGUAGUGAGAGAACAAUUACAUAGGUCUCAGAUUAUCAUUUGAUCGUGAUAAAUAGAGGAAGCAGAUUAUACCAUCUCAAAGAUACGAUUAUGUUGUCUUUGAUAGAUAUGCUUUAAAUGUGGCUGAAAGGUUGCAACACUCAAAUAUAGAGAUCAUCAUGGAUGCAUUUGAAAGCAGUAGAGUCAAAUAUGGUUAAAGAAUCAUAUGUGCGGGUUUAUUAUACUACAUGAGCAGGAAAAAGUAGUUGAAAGCAAGUGGAUCCAAGUGGAAAGAUCAACGUUCAAGUGUGGCUUGAACUUUAUCAAGGUUGUCGAAUAAUGCUUUUAAUAUGAUAGAGAGCAACAAGGUGGUUUAUAGGUUAAUUGACAUCACCAUAGUUUAAAGUCAAAGUGAAUAAUUGUAAAAGUUGUAGAAACCAAAGUUGAAGAAAGACGAAAAGCACCAUCAAGACCAACGAAUGACGUAGAAUUCACGGAGUGGCGAUUCGACAAGACAGUGGUAGUCGUGUUGAGUUUGUUGUGGUAAAGGGAGGCGCCAUAACCACGGUGGCGGCGGAAAAAACCACGACCGGUGAUGGAGCUGCAAUGGCAGAACCAAUGGUUCAUAGUGCGACGGUGACGACCAAUAAAGGGGCAGAGCUUCAGUGGCCGACCUGCGAUAGGAGGCGGUAGUUUGGUCCGCCGAUCGGAAUUUUUAGGAUAGCAAGUCUAGUUUGGGUGGUUCAUAGUCAUCAAUUCAUGGAUUCUUUUGUUUAAUGAGACGUGUUUUA